AUGGAACUGGGCCACAUGACAAGCCCUAGUUGCAAGAGAGGAUAUUUGGGGAAAAAAAUGAAGGCUGUUUCACAUCUGUUCCUGAGUUGUCCACCUGGCUGCUGUCCCCAGUUUCAUGUGCCAGUGGUUACAAUCCUCUCCAUAGAUGCUACACCCUGCUUUGGCACAGUACCAGGUAAGGGGGGAAUGAGGCCAGGCCCUCUCUUUCUGCUGUCUGCACAGUCAUCACACGGAUUGAAUGUGUGUACUGGAUUUGCAAAGGGUUCAGGUGACGACAUUCAUUCACUCAACUAGUUCUUUUUUUGACCACCUACUAUGUGCCAGGUAUUCUACUAGGAGCUGGGGUACAAGAGUAAAGAGACAGACAUGCCAUUUUUAAAGUUGAGGGGGUAGCAGGGAAAAGUAUCAUUACAAAAAUCAAUACCCAAAUUCAUGAUUUUAAGUUGUGAUAAUGUGCUAUGAAGGAAAAGGAGACUGUGUGUUGAGAGAGAAUAACAGAGGAGACUAUUUCAAUGGGGACGAAAAGAAGCGUCAGGAAAGGCCACCUAAGGUAGGAUAUUUAAGGAAAAUAUCCCUACCUUAUAUUCAGACCGGGGGGAAUUAAUACAAGGUAUUCCAAAAAAAAAAAAAGGAGGGGAAAAGGAAAAGAAAGAGAGAGGUGGGAGGAGGGAGGCAUUCCCCACAGAGGGAGCAAUUUGUGCAAAGGCACUGAGGUGGGAAAUAAUUUGACAUAUUAAGGAACUGAAAACAGCCAGGGAAAGGGAAAAAGAGAGGAAGCUGGCACCUCUAUGCAAAUAUGUACACAAAUAAUUUUACAUAAAUGGGAUCAUACUGUAUGCAGUUUCUAAACUUUUAUUUUUCACCACAUCAUUAAUGUAAAUAACCAAUACUCGGCAAAGGUUUUUUUUUUUUUUUUUUAUCCAGUUUCUGUAAGGGCAAGAAACAUAUUCUGAUGGCUGAUUGAAAUGCUAACUGACUAGAGGGUAUUAUGCUAAGUGAAAUUAGUCAGAGAAAGACAAAUAUCAUAUGACUUCACUCAUAUGAGGAAUUUAAGAUACAAAACAGAUAAACAUAAGGGAAGGGAAGCAAAAGAAUGUAAAAACAGGGAGGGGGACAAAACAUAAGACACUCUUAAAUAUGGAGAACAAACAGAGGGUUACCGGAGGGGUUGUGGGAGCGGGGAUGGGCUACAUGGAUAAGGGGCAUCAAGGAAUCUACUCCUGAAAUCAUUGUUGCACUAUAUGCUAACUAACUUGGUGUAAAUUAAAAAAUAAAUUAAUUUAAAAAAACA
Molecule: long non-coding RNA, 1291 nt
Filed under: Felis catus (domestic cat)
Lineage: Eukaryota; Metazoa; Chordata; Mammalia; Carnivora; Felidae
Description: lncRNA (ENSFCAG00000052434.1)
Source: RNAcentral